Molecule: ribosomal RNA, 1456 nt
Filed under: metagenome
Description: bacterial SSU rRNA
Rfam family: Bacterial small subunit ribosomal RNA
Source: RNAcentral
AGAGUUUGAUCCUGGCUCAGGAUGAACGCAGGCGGCGUGCCUAAUACAUGCAAGUCGAACGAGAACGACAACUUUCAGUUGUUAAGUAAAGUGGCGAACGGGUGAGUAACACGUAGGUGACCUGCCCCAGAGAGGGGGACAACCGGCGGAAACACCGGCUAAUACCCCAUAAGCUCACGUUGAUUAGGAAGACGUGAGAAAAACUCCGGUGCUCUGGGAGGGGCCUGCGGCCCAUCAGCUGGUUGGUAGGGUAACGGCCUACCAAGGCGAAGACGGGUAGGGGGCCUGAGAGGGUGGUCCCCCACACGGGCACUGAGACACGGGCCCGACUCCUACGGGAGGCAGCAGUAAGGGAUAUUGCACAAUGGGCGAAAGCCUGAUGCAGCAACGCCGCGUGCCUGAUGAAGGCCUUCGGGUCGUAAAGGGCUUUUCUGGCUGAAGAGGAAGGACGGUAGGCCAGGAAUAAGUGUCGGCUAACUACGUGCCAGCAGCCGCGGUAAAACGUAGGACGCAAGCGUUAUCCGGAGUUACUGGGCGUAAAGCGCGGGCAGGCGGGUGCCCAAGUCGGACGUGAAAGCUCCUGGCUCAACCGGGAGGGGCCGUUCGAGACUGGGCGUCUGGAGGGCAGUAGAGGGGCGUAGAAUUCCGGGUGGAGUGGUGAAAUGCGUAGAGAUCCGGAGGAAUACCAGAGGCGAAGGCGGCGCCCUGGGCUGCACCUGACGCUGAGCCGCGAAAGCAUGGGGAGCGAACGGGAUUAGAAACCCCGGUAGUCCAUGCCGUAAACGAUGUCAACUGGGUGUGGGGGCGAAAGCCUCCGCGCCGAAGCCAACGCGAUAAGUUGACCGCCUGGGGAGUACGGUCGCAAGGCUAAAACUCAAAGGAAUUGACGGGGGCCCGCACAAGCAGCGGAGCGUGUGGUUUAAUUCGAGGCAACGCGAAGAACCUUACCUGGGCUUGACAUCUAGGUGGUACCGAACCGAAAGGGGAGGGACCUUCGGGAGCUUAGACAGGUGCUGCAUGGCUGUCGUCAGCUCGUGCCGUGAGGUGUUCGGUUAAGUCCGCAAACGAGCGCAACCCUUGUCGUCAGUUACAAGUGUCUGACGAGACUGCCGGUGAAAGCCGGAGGAAGGUGGGGAUGACGUCAAGUCAGCAUGGCCUUUAUGUCCAGGGCGACACACACGCUACAAUGGCCGGUACAGAGGGAAGCGAAGCCGCGAGGUGGAGCGGAUCCCAGAAAGCCGGUCGUAGUUCGGAUUGCAGGCUGCAACUCGCCUGCAUGAAGGAGGAGUUGCUAGUAACCGCCGGUCAGCCACACGGCGGUGAAUACGUUCCCGGGCCUUGUACACACCGCCCGUCACGUCAUGGGAGCUGGCAACACCUGAAGUCGGCGAGCGAACCGCAAGGAAGCCACCGCCGAAGGUGGGGCUGGUGACUGGGACGAAGUCGUAACAAGGUA